This 266-nucleotide ribosomal RNA is filed under the name uncultured bacterium. RNAcentral describes it as "partial 16S ribosomal RNA". It matches the Rfam family "Bacterial small subunit ribosomal RNA", at positions 793 to 1055 of the family's 1533-position model. The record is from RNAcentral.
GUCCACGCCGUAAACGAUGAGAACUAGGUGUUGCGGGUAUUGACCCCUGCAGUGCCGCAGCUAACGCAUUAAGUUCUCCGCCUGGGAAGUACGGUCGCAAGACUAAAACUCAAAGGAAUUGACGGGGGCCAGCACAAGCGGUGGAGCAUGUGGUUUAAUUCGACGCAACGCGCAGAACCUUACCUGGUCUUGACAUCUACGGAACCCUCCCGAAAAGGAGGGGUGCCUUUCGGGGAGCCGUAAGACAGGUGCUGCAUGGCUGUCGU